UACGUAGGGGGCAAGCGUUGUCCGGAUUUAUUGGGCGUAAAGAGCUCGUAGGCGGUUCGACAAGUCGGAUGUGAAAUCUCCACGCUCAACGUGGAGGGGCCAUUCGAAACUGUCGUGACUUGAGUCCGGUAGGGGAGUGUGGAAUUCCCGGUGUAGCGGUGAAAUGCGCAGAGAUCGGGAGGAACACCCGUAGCGAAGGCGGCACUCUGGGCCGUGACUGACGCUGAGGCACGAAGGUCAGGGGAGCAAACGGG
RNAcentral lists this ribosomal RNA (254 nucleotides) under uncultured bacterium. RNAcentral describes it as "partial 16S ribosomal RNA". It matches the Rfam family "Bacterial small subunit ribosomal RNA", at positions 524 to 776 of the family's 1533-position model. The record is from RNAcentral.